Long non-coding RNA from Stegostoma tigrinum, 1994 nucleotides. RefSeq lists it as uncharacterized. Lineage: Eukaryota; Metazoa; Chordata; Chondrichthyes; Orectolobiformes; Stegostomatidae. The transcript has 4 exons. The record is from RefSeq and is a predicted model, not a curated record.
CUCUCCAAAGCAGCAUGACAUUCAUGGGAGCAAAGACAAAGAGACGAGUACACCUUCCAGCUCAGUUUUCAUCAGCACUGACGCAGACAGUUUUGUGGAUUGGGAGAUCUUUGCCAUUCAAAGCCCUGGGGAUGAUUAAUGCAAUGCCAAUUUACUGAAGUGCUCCAAAAAUAUCAACAUGCGCUUUUCAUGAGGUGCCUUUGGACACAUCACAAACUAUUGAGACCGAGAUGCGAACCAAAAGCCCGAUUGCAGUCCUAUAUGUACAGCUUGUUACUUCGCCAUUCUCUCUUGUUCGGUUGUUCCUGUUUGGGAUCACCAAGUGAAUUCUUCCUUCUGUCGGUAACUGAGGGGGCGCGAUUGAAACGCCAGUUGAAGGUCUCAGUGGGGAACGAACAAUGGUGUCUGGCUUUUCGGGACACCCAAUACACAUCCCAAUCCACAUCGAGACGAGCCUGUGUCUGAUUGAGCACGCUGCCGUCAAUCUGCUUAGCAAACGAGACUCAGAGAGUUUACAGGCAGAAGUUAAGUGUCCUCGACCUGGAUUCUUUUUGCUUUUGAUCCGACUCCUGCCUAUCGACGAUUUUAAGGGCCCCGUCAGUCAUGGAGCGAAUGUCGCGUUGAUACAGUAAUACCCUUGAUGCUGUCAGCUCGCAAACAGUACUUGUGAAGUUUAUAUUAAUGGCACAGUCAGAUAAAUAUUGACAGCGUGCAGUGUGUGUUUUUUUAAAUAAAUAGACUUACAAGGACUUUAGCAGUUUGGAGGCUGAAUACUUUCGCUUUGAAAUGCACAAUAGUAUUGGAAAUUUUGAAGAAGACUGAAAAUUGGGCUCCAUUUAAAAAAGAAUAACACUGAUUUGCCGUCGAGAUCGUGGUCUGGUCAAUUUUGAAUGAAUGCAGUUGUUUUCUGAACUGGUGAUUUUUUAUAUGCACUGAUGGUCCUUUAUCAGAUCGAAACAACUGUUUUUUCCAUAGAAGUUCUUAAAUAGCAUUUUGGGAAACUUGGGACAGGCAGAGUGUCAGAUAAGCCCAAAGAAGAUAGUUUUUUUCGUUUUCUAAAAUCAAGUGCUUGAGGAUUUGCUAGGAGAUAGGCGAUUGAGCCCUUAUUGAGUCCCAUUCCCUUUAAGCCAGUGUACCGCCGUUAUUCUUGGUUCUAACGUGGUUUUGGAAGGAAUUCCAUCCUUACUUUCUCCUUUCCUGUUGUGUGACCAACAUUCGGACAGACGCUACCCGAGAGAGAGUUGACCUCUGUGUAAACGGGUCGGUGGUUCGCAACGCAAAGGGACCCUUGGCUGUUUAUUAGUACUAGCGGAGGCUCCAGACCUCAACCGCAAAGUCGACGAGCGCCGUUGUUACUUGAGGUUACCAUUGUAACCUUCAGUGAAAGAAAGAAGGAGUCGGGUUACACACUCCAGCCUCGGUGCUUGAAGUCGCUGAAGCUCUCGAACGUCUGUCCGCGUUGCUUUGAUGAGCUGUGGCCCUCUCCCCCUUGCCUGCUGCCUUUUACCCUUUCUCAGGUUGGCUACCCUGAAAUACAGGGCAACAAAAUUCCUGAUCGGAAAACGCACCAUAAUUCAAAUUGGCGUGAUAAUGUCUUCCUAAUAGAUUGCCAGUUUGGCGAAUCACCUUCACAGGAAAUAUGAAAGCCCGAAGAGGAAAUAGGUGAGAGUUUAGAGUCGCUGUGUUCUGCUGGAACCCACUGGCGCAGGUUAUAUGAAAUGACCGCAAUAUCAGAUGGGUGGAGUCACAUAACAGAUAAGGGCGAACCUUCAAUGUGGAAGGGUGAACAGUCCUCGCACACUCUCACAGGACCCAAGCUCUGUGGUUAUCAGUUUGGCUUGGAUUUCCAUCAACAUCCUCGGACAACAAUCAACAGUAAGAGAACCCAGCCUUACUAAGUUUCCCUCUUCAGCAACUUUCCAAAUUCAAAGAUUAAGGGAUUCAAACAAUUACCUUCCAAGUGAAAAUGUGUCAUCAAUUAAUCCCGUACGAUC